GAUGAACGCUGGCGGCGUGCCUAAUACAUGCAAGUCGAGCGAACAGAUAAGGAGCUUGCUCCUUUGACGUUAGCGGCGGACGGGUGAGUAACACGUGGGUAACCUACCUAUAAGACUGGGAUAACUUCGGGAAACCGGAGCUAAUACCGGAUAACAUUUGGAACCGCAUGGUUCUAAAGUGAAAGAUGGUUUUGCUAUCACUUAUAGAUGGACCCGCGCCUUAUUAGCUAGUUGGUAAGGUAACGGCUUACCAAGGCAACGAUACGUAGCCGACCUGAGAGGGUGAUCGGCCACACUGGAACUGAGACACGGUCCAGACUCCUACGGGAGGCAGCAGUAGGGAAUCUUCCGCAAUGGGCGAAAGCCUGACGGAGCAACGCCGCGUGAGUGAUGAAGGGUUUCGGCUCGUAAAACUCUGUUAUUAGGGAAGAACAAAUGUGUAAGUAACUGUGCACGUCUUGACGGUACCUAAUCAGAAAGCCACGGCUAACUACGUG
RNAcentral lists this ribosomal RNA (497 nucleotides) under uncultured bacterium. RNAcentral describes it as "partial 16S ribosomal RNA". It matches the Rfam family "Bacterial small subunit ribosomal RNA", at positions 28 to 507 of the family's 1533-position model. The record is from RNAcentral.